RNAcentral lists this ribosomal RNA (643 nucleotides) under Anaplasma platys. RNAcentral describes it as "bacterial SSU rRNA". It matches the Rfam family "Bacterial small subunit ribosomal RNA", at positions 111 to 789 of the family's 1533-position model. Lineage: Bacteria; Pseudomonadati; Pseudomonadota; Alphaproteobacteria; Rickettsiales; Anaplasmataceae. The record is from RNAcentral.
UAAUGCAUAGGAAUCUACCUAGUAGUAUGGGAUAGCCACUAGAAAUGGUGGGUAAUACUGUAUAAUCCCUGCGGGGGAAAGAUUUAUCGCUAUUAGAUGAGCCUAUGUUAGAUUAGCUAGUUGGUAGGGUAAAGGCCUACCAAGGCAGUGAUCUAUAGCUGGUCUGAGAGGAUGAUCAGCCACACUGGAACUGAGAUACGGUCCAGACUCCUACGGGAGGCAGCAGUGGGGAAUAUUGGACAAUGGGCGCAAGCCUGAUCCAGCUAUGCCGCGUGAGUGAGGAAGGCCUUAGGGUUGUAAAACUCUUUCAGUGGGGAAGAUAAUGACGGUACCCACAGAAGAAGUCCCGGCAAACUCCGUGCCAGCAGCCGCGGUAAUACGGAGGGGGCAAGCGUUGUUCGGAAUUAUUGGGCGUAAAGGGCAUGUAGGCGGUUCGGUAAGUUAAAGGUGAAAUGCCAGGGCUUAACCCUGGAGCUGCUUUUAAUACUGCCAGACUCGAGUCCGGGAGAGGAUAGCGGAAUUCCUAGUGUAGAGGUGAAAUUCGUAGAUAUUAGGAGGAACACCAGUGGCGAAGGCGGCUAUCUGGUCCGGUACUGCCGCUGAACUGCUCAAUCGUGUGGAUCACACAGUAUUACCUACCCUG